CGGCCGCGUCGACCUGGCUCAGGACGAACGCUGGCGGCGUGCCUAAUACAUGCAAGUAGAACGCUGAAGAGAGGAGCUUGCUCUUCUUGGAUGAGUUGCGAACGGGUGAGUAACGCGUAGGUAACCUGCCUUGUAGCGGGGGAUAACUAUUGGAAACGAUAGCUAAUACCGCAUAACAAUGGAUGACACAUGUCAUUUAUUUGAAAGGGGCAAUUGCUCCACUACAAGAUGGACCUGCGUUGUAUUAGCUAGUAGGUGAGGUAAUGGCUCACCUAGGCGACGAUACAUAGCCGACCUGAGAGGGUGAUCGGCCACACUGGGACUGAGACACGGCCCAGACUCCUACGGGAGGCAGCAGUGGGAAUUCGUCGACAGUCGGGACACCUGACCGAGCAACGCCGCGUGGGAAGUAGGACGUAGUUUCGGUAGUAACCCGUUUAACGUCUCGGUAGUAAGUUAAGUCGAAAGACGGUACGUGACGGAGUUCGGAACGGUUAGGACCAACGGUACACGAACGGUAGGGACUUACGGAGAAGGACGCUAACGCGUGCAGCG
This 555-nucleotide ribosomal RNA is filed under the name uncultured bacterium. RNAcentral's name for it is "bacterial SSU rRNA". It matches the Rfam family "Bacterial small subunit ribosomal RNA", at positions 1 to 540 of the family's 1533-position model. The record is from RNAcentral.